This is a long non-coding RNA of Humulus lupulus (European hop), 363 nucleotides long. RefSeq lists it as uncharacterized. The transcript has 3 exons. The record is from RefSeq and is a predicted model, not a curated record. Lineage: Eukaryota; Viridiplantae; Streptophyta; Magnoliopsida; Rosales; Cannabaceae.
CCAACUAUUCUUGAUGGUGAUACUCUGAGCUUUUCAGGUGAAACCAACAGAAAUUCUCUUGAAGCCAUGGUGAAGAGCACAGGAAAAGAAUCAUUACAAUGGGGACUGGCUGGUGGAGUGUAUUCAGGUCUCACCUAUGGACUGGCCGAAGCUUGAGGAGCUCAUGAUUGGCUGGUGGAAUGGAGAGUAUGUCUAAUACUCCUAAGUACCUUCCAGAUGUAAGGUCAGCCCAUUUUGCUUCUGGAACUGGAAAAAUUUGAAGCUUAAUAUUUAACUCUAGUCUAGUUACGAAAUGGUUCAAUGUGCUCAACUUGGUCAUGUAUGGCAAUUAAUUAUUAACAACUCAAAUGGACCGUACAUGAG